GAAUCGAGUUUUACGAGUAUGUAGUUGGCAGAAGUACCCUUCCCCUUAACUCAAACCCCACCACCACCGUGUUGGCCUAAAAAAGCCAAUAACUGAAAUAUUCGUUUUGUUUCCUAUGUACCAACUCAGAAACAACGAUAAACAAUCAUACAAGCGUGUGAACAACUUAAGGAAGAAGAAUGGGAAACAUCUAGCAUGCUAUAAUUUAAAAGAAACUCAGUUGACUGGAUCCUUCUUUCUUUUGUAUUCUUCUAUAUAUUCCCAUGCACUUGCUUUUAAUGUUCAUGAAGAUGAUGCAUUGGCACUAGACUUGUUUCUUUAAAUGUCUUUUUUUGGGGAUAUCUAUGUGUGAACAUGCAGUUUUAAAGUUCUUGUCACAAGGUAUGUGAUGACCUUUCCCCAAAAUAGAAAUCAACGAAUCCAAGAACUCAGAGAAGAGAGACUAAUCUAUUUUCAUUAUGGUUGUGUUAUGGUACUUGCGCCGACCAUGCACUACUGUUUUUCAUGUCCAUUUUCAGAAGUUAAAUUUGUAGGCCAUGCAUAUAAUGAGUUAUCCAAUCGAAAUGUAGCUAGCAUAUAUAUGCAUAACGUACAAAGUACAACACCCCCUCCCCUCACCCCCAAAACCCAACCCCUUCCUCCCUCCACCUUCUACCCUACCGGGUCGCAUUACUCUUAAUGGAUGUUAUACUAGUCGUCUGGCACCUUCGUAGAUGUUGUACCUUUACUCUUAAUGGAUGUUAUCGCGUUGACACAAUUUGGGGUGCUAAGUUUCUGCUGUCAAAGAGGCGAGCGAGUCUUAAUCCGUGUUCGACGCUACUUGACUAGCUCAAACGAAAUUGGAAUGAGUAAAUGAUCGCAUUCAAC
RNAcentral lists this long non-coding RNA (867 nucleotides) under Nicotiana benthamiana. Its description in RNAcentral is "long non-coding RNA (NBEN_LNC030780)". The record is from RNAcentral. Lineage: Eukaryota; Viridiplantae; Streptophyta; Magnoliopsida; Solanales; Solanaceae.